Molecule: ribosomal RNA, 445 nt
Filed under: uncultured bacterium
Lineage: Bacteria
Description: partial 16S ribosomal RNA
Rfam family: Bacterial small subunit ribosomal RNA
Source: RNAcentral
GUGAGGAAUAUUGCGCAAUGGAGGCAACUCUGACGCAGCCAUGUCGCGUGCAGGAAGAAGGCGCUACGCGUUGUAAACUGCUUUUAACCGGGAAGAAACCCCAGGACGUGUCCUGGGUUGACGGUACCGGAGGAAUAAGCACCGGCUAACUUCGUGCCAGCAGCCGCGGUAAUACGAAGGGUGCAAGCGUUAUCCGGAUUCAUUGGGUUUAAAGGGUGCGUAGGCGGAGCGUUAAGUCAGUGGUGAAAUCCUGCAGCUUAACUGUAGACUUGCCAUUGAUACUGGCGCUCUUGAGUGCGCUUGAAGUGGGCGGAAUGUGCCGUGUAGCGGUGAAAUGCUUAGAUAUGGCACAGAACACCAAUUGCGAAGGCAGCUCACUAAGGCGAUACUGACGCUGAGGCACGAAAGCGUGGGGAUCGAACAGGAUUAGAAACCCCGGUAGUCC